AAACAUCGAGCCACUAUCGAUAGUAUCGAUGGCGACUUCACUGAUUCGACUAUCGAAGUUUUUUUCCCCGAUAGUUCGAUAGUGGUAAAAAUUUUUACCAUAUCUUGCUGCACAGUAAAAAGAGUGUUGUUGGACUUUUGUGUGUUGGUGUUGAUGGUGACGGGAUGAACAAGUUUUUAGCAGGUUUAAGCAAAGAGGACGCCGGAGCGACAACCAAUUCGGACGACGAAAAUUAACCAAAACGAAGGAAGACAGAAAAGUCGAGAGUAUGGGAGUUUUUUAAAAAAUUGACGGGUAAAAAUGCUCAGUGCAUUUUAGGUAGCAAAGUCUACAAAACUAGUGGCAAUACUUGUCGGACCAUUUAAAAAGGCUGCACCCAACUGCAAAAAUAGAAAACAUUAAACCACCGGUAGGUACAAUCGAAACAUACUUUCAGCAGAAAUAUGAAACUGGAUCUGCACGCAAAAAAGUCUGGACAAUGAUCUAGUGUACUACACUUCUUCCGACUUGCGCCCAUUGUCUGUAGUUGAAAAUAAAGGUUUUGGGAAAUUCACUACGAACCUCGAUCCACGCUAUGUGCUACCAAGUCGAACCACACUACAGAAUGUGCACAUGAAAAAUGCAUACAAUUCAAUGAAAUGUAAGCUGCAGGAUCUACUUAACGCUGUAGAUCAUUGUGCUGUAACUACGGACUGUUGGACUUCUCGUGCAAACGAGAGUUAUAUAUCAGUAACAUGCCAUUUUGUCAGCUCUGAUUUUGUUUUGCGCAUUGUGCUUCAUGCAACAAAAAAAUUGGAGGACCAAACAAAUCACUCUGCGUUAAACAUAAGCGAUACUUGAGCUCGACUCUUGAGGAGUGGAAAAUGAUUGAUAAGGUGAUAGCUAUUCUUACAGAUGGUGCCGCUAAUAUGCUUAGAGCUUGCAGAAACAUUGACAAGACAAACCUUCCUUGCUUCGCACACUCUUUGAAUUUGGUGGUUCAGGAUUGUUUGGCUCAAGAAGAAAUUAAACCAAUUAUGUCAAAAUGCUAGCGAAUCGAUUUUUAAGAGUAGCUCCACAGCAUACGCUAAGUUCAAGCAGGCCCAGGAUGUGCCAAAACCAUAUAUCCUAAAGCAGGAAGUGCCUAAACGCUGGAAUAGUGGCUAUCAAAUGAUUAACCGCAUUUUAAAGACAAAGGAUGCUAUUGGAAAGAUCAUUCUGGCCACUCCUAAAGCGCCUCUGCC
Molecule: long non-coding RNA, 1223 nt
Organism: Drosophila obscura
Lineage: Eukaryota; Metazoa; Arthropoda; Insecta; Diptera; Drosophilidae
Exons: 3
Source: RefSeq, a predicted model, not a curated record